GAUGAACGCUGGCGGCGUGCCUAAUACAUGCAAGUCGAGCGAACGGACGAGAAGCUUGCUUCUCUGAUGUUAGCGGCGGACGGGUGAGUAACACGUGGAUAACCUACCUAUAAGACUGGGAUAACUUCGGGAAACCGGAGCUAAUACCGGAUAAUAUUUUGAACCGCAUGGUUCAAAAGUGAAAGACGGUCUUGCUGUCACUUAUAGAUGGAUCCGCGCUGCAUUAGCUAGUUGGUAAGGUAACGGCUUACCAAGGCAACGAUGCAUAGCCGACCUGAGAGGGUGAUCGGCCACACUGGAACUGAGACACGGUCCAGACUCCUACGGGAGGCAGCAGUAGGGAAUCUUCCGCAAUGGGCGAAAGCCUGACGGAGCAACGCCGCGUGAGUGAUGAAGGUCUUCGGAUCGUAAAACUCUGUUAUUAGGGAAGAACAUAUGUGUAAGUAACUGUGCACAUCUUGACGGUACCUAAUCAGAAAGCCACGGCUAACUACGUGCCAGCAGCCGCGGUAAUACGUAGGUGGCAAGCGUUAUCCGGAAUUAUUGGGCGUAAAGCGCGCGUAGGCGGUUUUUUAAGUCUGAUGUGAAAGCCCACGGCUCAACCGUGGAGGGUCAUUGGAAACUGGAAAACUUGAGUGCAGAAGAGGAAAGUGGAAUUCCAUGUGUAGCGGUGAAAUGCGCAGAGAUAUGGAGGAACACCAGUGGCGAAGGCGACUUUCUGGUCUGUAACUGACGCUGAUGUGCGAAGGCGUGGGGAUCAAACAGGAUUAGAUACCCUGGUAGUCCACGCCGUAAACGAUGAGUGCUAAGUGUUAGGGGGUUUCCGCCCCUUAGUGCUGCAGCUAACGCAUUAAGCACUCCGCCUGGGGAGUACGACCGCAAGGUUGAAACUCAAAGGAAUUGACGGGGACCCGCACAAGCGGUGGAGCAUGCGGUUUAAUUCGAAGCAACGCGAAGAACCUUACCAAAUCUUGACAUCCUUUGACAACUCUAGAGAUAGAGCCUUCCCCUUCGGGGGACAAAGUGACAGGUGGUGCAUGGUUGUCGUCAGCUCGUGUCGUGAGAUGUUGGGUUAAGUCCCGCAACGAGCGCAACCCUUAAGCUUAGUUGCCAUCAUUAAGUUGGGCACUCUAAGUUGACUGCCGGUGACAAACCGGAGGAAGGUGGGGAUGACGUCAAAUCAUCAUGCCCCUUAUGAUUUGGGCUACACACGUGCUACAAUGGACAAUACAAAGGGCAGCGAAACCGCGAGGUCAAGCAAAUCCCAUAAAGUUGUUCUCAGUUCGGAUUGUAGUCUGCAACUCGACUACAUGAAGCUGGAAUCGCUAGUAAUCGUAGGUCAGCAUGCUACGGUGAAUACGUUCCCGGGUCU
This 1372-nucleotide ribosomal RNA is filed under the name uncultured bacterium. RNAcentral's name for it is "bacterial SSU rRNA". It matches the Rfam family "Bacterial small subunit ribosomal RNA", at positions 28 to 1381 of the family's 1533-position model. The record is from RNAcentral.